Molecule: ribosomal RNA, 274 nt
Filed under: uncultured bacterium
Lineage: Bacteria
Description: partial 16S ribosomal RNA
Rfam family: Bacterial small subunit ribosomal RNA
Source: RNAcentral
AUACGGAGGGUGCGAGCGUUAUCCGGAUUUAUUAGGUUUAAAGGGUGUGUAGGCGGGAGCCUAAGUCAGUGGUGAAAUCUCACAGCUUAACUGUGAAACUGCCAUUGAAACUGGGUUUCUUGAGUAUAGUUGAGGUAGGCGGAAUGCGUAAUGUAGCGGUGAAAUGCAUAGAUAUUACACAGAACACCGAUUGCGAAGGCAGCUUACUAAGCUAUUACUGACGCUGAUGCACGAGAGCGUGGGUAGCGAACAGGAUUAGAAACCCGGGUAGUCC